Molecule: ribosomal RNA, 465 nt
Filed under: uncultured bacterium
Lineage: Bacteria
Description: partial 16S ribosomal RNA
Rfam family: Bacterial small subunit ribosomal RNA
Source: RNAcentral
GACGAACGCUGGCGGCGUGCUUAACACAUGCCAGUCGAACGGAAAGGCCCUGCUUGCAGGGUACUCGAGUGGCGAACGGGUGAGUAACACGUGGGUGAUCUGCCCUGCACUUCGGGAUAAGCCUGGGAAACUGGGUCUAAUACCGGAUAGGAGCCAUUUUUAGUGUGAUGGUUGGAAAGUUUUUUCGGUGUAGGAUGAGCUCGCGGCCUAUCAGCUUGUUGGUGGGGUAAUGGCCUACCAAGGCGGCGACGGGUAGCCGGCCUGAGAGGGUGGACGGCCACAUUGGGACUGAGAUACGGCCCAGACUCCUACGGGAGGCAGCAGUGGGGAAUAUUGCACAAUGGGCGCAAGCCUGAUGCAGCGACGCCGCGUGGGGGAUGACGGCCUUCGGGUUGUAAGCUCCUUUCGCUAGGGACGAAGCUUUUUGUGACGGUACCUAGAUAAGAAGCACCGGCUAACUACGUG